RNAcentral lists this unclassified non-coding RNA (347 nucleotides) under soil metagenome. RNAcentral describes it as "partial contains 5.8S ribosomal RNA, internal transcribed spacer 2, and large subunit ribosomal RNA". The stretch from base 1 to 120 matches the Rfam family "5.8S ribosomal RNA", at positions 35 to 154 of the family's 154-position model. The record is from RNAcentral.
GAUGAAGAACGUAGCGAAAUGCGAUAAUUAAUGUGAAUUGCAGAAUUCAGUGAAUCAUCGAGUCUUUGAACGCACAUUGCGCCCCCUGGUAUUCCGGGGGGCAUGCCUGUCCGAGCGUCAUUGCUGCCCUCAAGCACGGCUUGUGUGUUGGGCUUCCGUCCCUGGCAACGGGGACGGGCCCAAAAGGCAGUGGCGGCACCAUGUCUGGUCCUCGAGCGUAUGGGGCUUUGUCACCCGCUCCCGUAGGUCCAGCUGGCAGCUAGCCUCGCAACCAAUCUUUUUAAUCAGGUUGUCCUCGGAUCAGGUAGGGAUACCCGCUGAACUUAAGCAUAUCAAUAAGCGGAGGA